AACGAACGCUGGCGGCAUGCCUAACACAUGCAAGUCGAACGGGACCUUCGGGUCUAGUGGCGCACGGGUGCGUAACGCGUGGGAAUCUGCCCUGGGGUCUGGGAUAACUUCUCGAAAGGGAAGCUAAUACCGGAUGAUAUCGCGAGAUCAAAGAUUUAUCGCCCUGGGAUGAGCCCGCGUCCGAUUAGGUAGUUGGUGGGGUAAAGGCCUACCAAGCCGACGAUCGGUAGCUGGUCUGAGAGGAUGAUCAGCCACACUGGGACUGAGACACGGCCCAGACUCCUACGGGAGGCAGCAGUGGGGAAUAUUGGACAAUGGGCGCAAGCCUGAUCCAGCAAUGCCGCGUGAGUGAUGAAGGCCUUAGGGUUGUAAAGCUCUUUUACCCGGGAUGAUAAUGACAGUACCGGGAGAAUAAGCCCCGGCUAACUCNGUGCCAGCCGCCGCGGUAA
Molecule: ribosomal RNA, 449 nt
Filed under: uncultured bacterium
Lineage: Bacteria
Description: partial 16S ribosomal RNA
Rfam family: Bacterial small subunit ribosomal RNA
Source: RNAcentral